RNAcentral lists this long non-coding RNA (349 nucleotides) under Mus musculus (house mouse). RNAcentral's name for it is "long non-coding RNA chr6:17666617-17666966". The record is from RNAcentral. Lineage: Eukaryota; Metazoa; Chordata; Mammalia; Rodentia; Muridae.
GAGUGGAAUCCAUUCCUCACGUACUCCUGCAGACAUCUGGGCCUGGAAUUUUUUUUUUUUUAAACACCACUUUUACUAUGUAUAAUAAAAUAUUUCAUUAGCUUGAAUUGUAUAGAUUUUUAAAAAUUCAAUAAGAGCAUGUUGUUUAAUUUCUUUUUAAAAUCACUGUUGGGCUUUGAAAGCAUUGCAAAUAUAUGACAUUGUGACAGUUUUGGCUAAUUUCCUCUUUAGCUUUUAGUCUUGGCAUCAGGAUUUUUAAGGAAAAUGAACUGAUAACAUUAAUUCUAUGUCUAGAUUUUUAAAACACGUACUUAAAUUUUGAUGAUUCUGAAGUAAAUACUAAAUAAGU